GCAGUCGUGGCCGAGUGGUUAAGGCGAUGGACUCGAAAUCCAUUGGGGUCACGUCGCGCAGGUUCGAAUCCUGCCGGCUGCG
Molecule: transfer RNA, 82 nt
Filed under: Trichonephila clavata
Lineage: Eukaryota; Metazoa; Arthropoda; Arachnida; Araneae; Nephilidae
Rfam family: tRNA
About the family: Transfer RNA (tRNA) molecules are approximately 80 nucleotides in length. Their secondary structure includes four short double-helical elements and three loops (D, anti-codon, and T loops).
Source: Rfam by way of RNAcentral